This 500-nucleotide long non-coding RNA is filed under the name Spirodela polyrhiza (greater duckweed). Its description in RNAcentral is "long non-coding RNA (SPOL_LNC001743)". Lineage: Eukaryota; Viridiplantae; Streptophyta; Magnoliopsida; Alismatales; Araceae. The record is from RNAcentral.
UCCCCCUCUCUCAGCAGAUCUAUGCUCACCCAGAGUGGAGUGGAUGAUCUCAACCGAGAAACAGACGAUCUCGGGAGGAAGAGGAUGCUGCGAAGAGCUGUCGGAGCUUCCCUUGCCGGAGUCGUCAGCGACUGCGAGCGGCUGACGGCGAUUAGGAUCAGCCCUCACAGGGCUGAGCCCUAGCAGUCAAGACGGCGGGUGAAGAGCCGGGCAGCCGAACAAUGGGGGAUUACAGCUCGGAUAGUGGAGAUUGAGCUGGGGGUUUCCCCCUCAACCCACGAAUGGUAGCCGACGCCAGACCACAGGGAGGCAGAGUGCAAGAGAAGAAGAGGGGGGGGGGAUGGGGAAUCGAUGGGGUAUUCCUUCUUCUCUCGAUUUCGUUCCAAAUAAAGGCGAAAUCAAGGGUUAUCCCCACCCCCUCGGCCGGAGAAGCAGAGAGGCUGAGGAAAAGGAUAUGGAGGCUUAUAAUAAGACCCACCAGAAGAUUGACAGCGACGAGG